GUGUCUUCGGUGACCGGUCUACCACCGGGAUGUUCAUAACCCUUUGUUGUCCGACUCUGUUGCCUCCGGGGCGACCCUGCCUUCGGGCGGGGGCUCCGGGUGGACACUUCAAACUCUUGCGUAACUUUGCAGUCUGAGUAAACUUAAUUAAUAAAUUAAAACUUUUAACAACGGAUCUCUUGGUUCUGGCAUCGAUGAAGAACGCAGCGAAAUGCGAUAAGUAAUGUGAAUUGCAGAAUUCAGUGAAUCAUCGAAUCUUUGAACGCACAUUGCGCCCCCUGGUAUUCCGGGGGGCAUGCCUGUUCGAGCGUCAUUUCACCACUCAAGCCUCGCUUGGUAUUGGGCAUCGCGGUCCGCCGCGUGCCUCAAAUCGACCGGCUGGGUCUUCUGUCCCCUAAGCGUUGUGGAAACUAUUCGCUAAAGGGUGUUCGGGAGGCUACGCCGUAAAACAACCCCAUUUCUAAGGUUGACCUCGGAUCAGGUAGGGAUACCCGCUGAACUUAAGCAUAUCUAAGCGGGGAGAGAGAA
RNAcentral lists this ribosomal RNA (528 nucleotides) under Cladosporium cladosporioides. RNAcentral's name for it is "eukaryotic LSU rRNA". The stretch from base 160 to 313 matches the Rfam family "5.8S ribosomal RNA". The record is from RNAcentral. Lineage: Eukaryota; Fungi; Ascomycota; Dothideomycetes; Cladosporiales; Cladosporiaceae.